UGUUCUAACCCUACAUUUUAGCGAACAAUAACAAAUAAUGCUACUGCUAACAUUCUUGCAGCCUAGAAGUAAUAAACUACUCCAAAAUUGCAGGUUCCAACUGUUGAUUUUGGUGCCCCAAUAUUGUUAGAAAAUAAGGCGACGGAAAAACUAUAUUAGAUAUUAUAGAUUAUUGAUUAUCGCAAAAUAAUCCAACAUUUGCCAACAUCUCAGUAUACAGAGUAUUAUUCAGAAGAAAUUAUCGCUUACAAUGGGUUUCGGACUAAACAUAGCAUCAAAUGAAGUGACUCUUGACAACAACAUGAUGUAUUUAUUGUAAUGAAGUUAUUUGUGAACAAUAAAAUCUUUC
This is a long non-coding RNA of Diabrotica virgifera virgifera (western corn rootworm), 349 nucleotides long. RefSeq lists it as uncharacterized. The transcript is spliced from 3 exons. The record is from RefSeq and is a predicted model, not a curated record. Lineage: Eukaryota; Metazoa; Arthropoda; Insecta; Coleoptera; Chrysomelidae.